CUGGCGACGAGUGGCGGACGGGUGAGUAAUACUUAGGAAUCUGCCCGGUAGUGGGGGACGAACUCGGGGAAACUCGAGCUAAUACCGCAUACGCCCUAAGGGGGAAAGCGGGGGAUCUUCGGACCUCGCGCUAUUGGAUGAGCCUAAGUCGGAUUAGCUUGUAGGUAGGGUAACGGCCUACCUAGGCGACGAUCCGUAGCUGGUCUGAGAGGACGAUCAGCCACACUGGGACUGAGACACGGCCCAG
RNAcentral lists this ribosomal RNA (247 nucleotides) under uncultured bacterium. Its description in RNAcentral is "partial 16S ribosomal RNA". It matches the Rfam family "Bacterial small subunit ribosomal RNA", at positions 85 to 334 of the family's 1533-position model. The record is from RNAcentral.